This 2904-nucleotide ribosomal RNA is filed under the name Escherichia coli. Its description in RNAcentral is "23S ribosomal RNA". It matches the Rfam family "Bacterial large subunit ribosomal RNA". The record is from RNAcentral. Lineage: Bacteria; Pseudomonadati; Pseudomonadota; Gammaproteobacteria; Enterobacterales; Enterobacteriaceae.
GGUUAAGCGACUAAGCGUACACGGUGGAUGCCCUGGCAGUCAGAGGCGAUGAAGGACGUGCUAAUCUGCGAUAAGCGUCGGUAAGGUGAUAUGAACCGUUAUAACCGGCGAUUUCCGAAUGGGGAAACCCAGUGUGUUUCGACACACUAUCAUUAACUGAAUCCAUAGGUUAAUGAGGCGAACCGGGGGAACUGAAACAUCUAAGUACCCCGAGGAAAAGAAAUCAACCGAGAUUCCCCCAGUAGCGGCGAGCGAACGGGGAGCAGCCCAGAGCCUGAAUCAGUGUGUGUGUUAGUGGAAGCGUCUGGAAAGGCGCGCGAUACAGGGUGACAGCCCCGUACACAAAAAUGCACAUGCUGUGAGCUCGAUGAGUAGGGCGGGACACGUGGUAUCCUGUCUGAAUAUGGGGGGACCAUCCUCCAAGGCUAAAUACUCCUGACUGACCGAUAGUGAACCAGUACCGUGAGGGAAAGGCGAAAAGAACCCCGGCGAGGGGAGUGAAAAAGAACCUGAAACCGUGUACGUACAAGCAGUGGGAGCACGCUUAGGCGUGUGACUGCGUACCUUUUGUAUAAUGGGUCAGCGACUUAUAUUCUGUAGCAAGGUUAACCGAAUAGGGGAGCCGAAGGGAAACCGAGUCUUAACUGGGCGUUAAGUUGCAGGGUAUAGACCCGAAACCCGGUGAUCUAGCCAUGGGCAGGUUGAAGGUUGGGUAACACUAACUGGAGGACCGAACCGACUAAUGUUGAAAAAUUAGCGGAUGACUUGUGGCUGGGGGUGAAAGGCCAAUCAAACCGGGAGAUAGCUGGUUCUCCCCGAAAGCUAUUUAGGUAGCGCCUCGUGAAUUCAUCUCCGGGGGUAGAGCACUGUUUCGGCAAGGGGGUCAUCCCGACUUACCAACCCGAUGCAAACUGCGAAUACCGGAGAAUGUUAUCACGGGAGACACACGGCGGGUGCUAACGUCCGUCGUGAAGAGGGAAACAACCCAGACCGCCAGCUAAGGUCCCAAAGUCAUGGUUAAGUGGGAAACGAUGUGGGAAGGCCCAGACAGCCAGGAUGUUGGCUUAGAAGCAGCCAUCAUUUAAAGAAAGCGUAAUAGCUCACUGGUCGAGUCGGCCUGCGCGGAAGAUGUAACGGGGCUAAACCAUGCACCGAAGCUGCGGCAGCGACGCUGAUGCGUUGUUGGGUAGGGGAGCGUUCUGUAAGCCUGCGAAGGUGUGCUGUGAGGCAUGCUGGAGGUAUCAGAAGUGCGAAUGCUGACAUAAGUAACGAUAAAGCGGGUGAAAAGCCCGCUCGCCGGAAGACCAAGGGUUCCUGUCCAACGUUAAUCGGGGCAGGGUGAGUCGACCCCUAAGGCGAGGCCGAAAGGCGUAGUCGAUGGGAAACAGGUUAAUAUUCCUGUACUUGGUGUUACUGCGAAGGGGGGACGGAGAAGGCUAUGUUGGCCGGGCGACGGUUGUCCCGGUUUAAGCGUGUAGGCUGGUUUUCCAGGCAAAUCCGGAAAAUCAAGGCUGAGGCGUGAUGACGAGGCACUACGGUGCUGAAGCAACAAAUGCCCUGCUUCCAGGAAAAGCCUCUAAGCAUCAGGUAACAUCAAAUCGUACCCCAAACCGACACAGGUGGUCAGGUAGAGAAUACCAAGGCGCUUGAGAGAACUCGGGUGAAGGAACUAGGCAAAAUGGUGCCGUAACUUCGGGAGAAGGCACGCUGAUAUGUAGGUGAGGUCCCUCGCGGAUGGAGCUGAAAUCAGUCGAAGAUACCAGCUGGCUGCAACUGUUUAUUAAAAACACAGCACUGUGCAAACACGAAAGUGGACGUAUACGGUGUGACGCCUGCCCGGUGCCGGAAGGUUAAUUGAUGGGGUUAGCGCAAGCGAAGCUCUUGAUCGAAGCCCCGGUAAACGGCGGCCGUAACUAUAACGGUCCUAAGGUAGCGAAAUUCCUUGUCGGGUAAGUUCCGACCUGCACGAAUGGCGUAAUGAUGGCCAGGCUGUCUCCACCCGAGACUCAGUGAAAUUGAACUCGCUGUGAAGAUGCAGUGUACCCGCGGCAAGACGGAAAGACCCCGUGAACCUUUACUAUAGCUUGACACUGAACAUUGAGCCUUGAUGUGUAGGAUAGGUGGGAGGCUUUGAAGUGUGGACGCCAGUCUGCAUGGAGCCGACCUUGAAAUACCACCCUUUAAUGUUUGAUGUUCUAACGUUGACCCGUAAUCCGGGUUGCGGACAGUGUCUGGUGGGUAGUUUGACUGGGGCGGUCUCCUCCUAAAGAGUAACGGAGGAGCACGAAGGUUGGCUAAUCCUGGUCGGACAUCAGGAGGUUAGUGCAAUGGCAUAAGCCAGCUUGACUGCGAGCGUGACGGCGCGAGCAGGUGCGAAAGCAGGUCAUAGUGAUCCGGUGGUUCUGAAUGGAAGGGCCAUCGCUCAACGGAUAAAAGGUACUCCGGGGAUAACAGGCUGAUACCGCCCAAGAGUUCAUAUCGACGGCGGUGUUUGGCACCUCGAUGUCGGCUCAUCACAUCCUGGGGCUGAAGUAGGUCCCAAGGGUAUGGCUGUUCGCCAUUUAAAGUGGUACGCGAGCUGGGUUUAGAACGUCGUGAGACAGUUCGGUCCCUAUCUGCCGUGGGCGCUGGAGAACUGAGGGGGGCUGCUCCUAGUACGAGAGGACCGGAGUGGACGCAUCACUGGUGUUCGGGUUGUCAUGCCAAUGGCACUGCCCGGUAGCUAAAUGCGGAAGAGAUAAGUGCUGAAAGCAUCUAAGCACGAAACUUGCCCCGAGAUGAGUUCUCCCUGACCCUUUAAGGGUCCUGAAGGAACGUUGAAGACGACGACGUUGAUAGGCCGGGUGUGUAAGCGCAGCGAUGCGUUGAGCUAACCGGUACUAAUGAACCGUGAGGCUUAACCUU